CCUGGUGGCUCAGAGGGUAAAGCGUCUGCCUGCAAUGCAGGAAACUGGGGUUCGAUCCCUGGGUCAGGA
RNAcentral lists this transfer RNA (69 nucleotides) under Bos taurus (domestic cattle). It matches the Rfam family "tRNA". Rfam says of the family: Transfer RNA (tRNA) molecules are approximately 80 nucleotides in length. Their secondary structure includes four short double-helical elements and three loops (D, anti-codon, and T loops). Lineage: Eukaryota; Metazoa; Chordata; Mammalia; Artiodactyla; Bovidae. RNAcentral also lists the same sequence under 5 other names. The record is from Rfam by way of RNAcentral.